CGUCAAAUCAUCAUGCCCCUUAUGUCUAGGGCUACACACGUGCUACAAUGGCUGGUACAACGAGCAGCGAACCCGCGAGGGGGAGCAAAACUUGAAAGCCAGUCCCAGUUCGGAUUGUAGGCUGAACCUCGCCUACAUGAAGUUGGAGUUGCUAGUAAUCGCGAAUCAGCAUGUCGCGGUGAAUACGUUCCCGGGUCUUGUACACACCGCCCGUCACACCAUGAGAGCCGGUAACACCCGAAGCCCGUGAGGUAACCGUAAGGAGCCAGCGGUCGAAGGUGGGAUUGGUGAUUGGGGUGAAGUCGUAACAAGGUAGCCGUAGGAGAACCUGCGGCUGGAUCACCUCCUUUCUAGGGAGA
Molecule: ribosomal RNA, 359 nt
Filed under: Clostridium botulinum C/D
Lineage: Bacteria; Bacillati; Bacillota; Clostridia; Eubacteriales; Clostridiaceae
Description: bacterial SSU rRNA
Rfam family: Bacterial small subunit ribosomal RNA
Source: RNAcentral